AAUAAAAAAUUCAAAUAAAAAUAAAGUUCAAAAUAUAUCUUACAUUAAUAUCCAUUACAAAAGUCUCAUACAUUAAAUUAGUAAGUAACGCAGCAUGCAAGGGAUAUAAACUAUCAUAAACAAAUUAAUAGCCUAAUACAAAAUUGUUACAAAUAAAAUCAAAUUUAGAUUCAAAAUUAACUUUUCAAUGGUGGCGUGGGCACUUUAUAAAUGUGGACUAUUCCCUUUACAGCACAAUAGUUAAGUCGAAGCAAAUCAAGAGCAAAUAUUAUAUUAGAUUGAUAUUAAUAUUGUGAUUUGCUGUGGGCAAUUAUAACAUCUAA
Molecule: long non-coding RNA, 323 nt
Filed under: Citrus x clementina
Lineage: Eukaryota; Viridiplantae; Streptophyta; Magnoliopsida; Sapindales; Rutaceae
Description: Citrus clementina (C. clementina) long non-coding RNA (CCLE_LNC003430)
Source: RNAcentral